AAUCAACGCUGGCGGCGUGCCUCAGACAUGCAAGUCGAACGCGAAAUUUCCCUUCGGGGAGAAAGUAGAGUGGCGCACGGGUGAGUAACACGUAGGUAAUUUGCCUUUGGGUGGGGAAUAACAGUCGGAAACGGCUGCUAAUACCGCAUAAUGCAGCGGCUCGACAUCGAGACAGUUGUUAAAGCGGGGGAUCGCAAGACCUCGCGCCUGAAGAGAAGCCUGCGGCAGAUUAGCUAGUUGGUAGGGUAAUGGCCUACCAAGGCAACGAUCUGUAACCGGCCUGAGAGGGCGGUCGGUCACACUGACACUGACAUACGGGUCAGACUCCUACGGGAGGCAGCAGUCGGGAAUUUUGGGCAAUGGGCGAAAGCCUGACCCAGCAACGCCGCGUG
This 392-nucleotide ribosomal RNA is filed under the name uncultured bacterium. RNAcentral's name for it is "bacterial SSU rRNA". It matches the Rfam family "Bacterial small subunit ribosomal RNA", at positions 32 to 403 of the family's 1533-position model. The record is from RNAcentral.